AACUUCCCCUCGCCUAUCACCUGUGCCAUGACGCUCCCUCCACGCAUUGCUCCUGCCCUCGCGAGCCCUCGCCUUCGGCAUCACGCCGCCGCCAGCCACCGCCCACAGCCUAGCGCCGCCAUUGCGAGACCUCAUCUCAUCCUCGUACCACGGUCGCCAGCCCCGUCGGCACCGCCUGCACUGUCACCUUCUGAUCGUGCCUCCGUCGCCAGAUCCCUCGCACCGUACGCGUCGGCUACCGAAGCUGCUCCGCCGCCCCGACGCCGCUCGGCGGGCCACCGCCCCGAUGCGCCGCCGCAGGAUCUACCGCCACAUCCGUCGCCUCCCCACGACAGAACGCGUUGCUGCCUCCGCUCCACGUCAUCUUGCACGCUAGAGAUCUCACCCUGUCGUCCAUGGAGGGAAGCCACGCCAUUGAGCAGGGGCUAGGUGAAGGACCCGAUGAACACGACGCCUGCUGGAGAAGCCGUUGGUGUCUUGUUGCCGAUUGGACCCCACCUCUUGUUCGUGGUGCAGAUCCGGGUCACAAGUUCAAAAAAUAGAGUGUAACCAAGGAGCAUAUUUAACCUUUCCAAAGAAUACAAGGCUGAGUUACUAUUAAUUGUUUUCAUUUUUCAAGGAUUUUAGGCAUACAUCAAGUUAUAGUGGCCCUUGAACAAAUUGUGGCUACUGAAAACUCAAGUGCUCCUGCUGAUCUGAACAACUCUGUUGUUGAAGUGGAGAGACCAAUGUAAUUUGCGAAGACAGGUCUGUAUGUGUGCUAUCAUCUGUACUGCAUAAUAGCCAUCUAUUCGCUAUCACAGGUCUGUAUGUGUGUUAAUAUGUGUUAUAGUCAAAAUGAAGAAUCUUCUUUUAUUUUGACUCUAUGCCAUUAUUAUUUUUCUGACUUUCCUUCAUUGUUAACCUCCACUUUCUGAUCCCACUACAUCUGUUUUAAAUUCUCGUGGGAUACAUAUUUUUAAUUCAGUCUACAGUGAAGUAUACUCUAGGGGAAACAUAAUCAUCUGCUAUAGGUAAAUAUAGAGUUUGAUGAGUAACUACAAAUCAAACAACUAACAACAUGAGCUGAUCUAUGAUAGCAAAGGAAAUUCAGAGAUCUCUUAGUUUCUGUUAGUAGAUAUCAACUCAGGUUGAUGUUGCGAUGAUCUUUUUCCUUCAUGUGUUGAUGCUGCCUAGAAUAUUAUCUUUGUGAUAGCUUUUUUGGUAACUUGUCAAUCGUGCACAAUUUUCUUGUGUAGAUAUUUUCCUUCCUUUGUUAUUAUCUAUGCUUUCUUUGCUUUGCCCAGUUGAUGUGGACACCAGUUUAUUUUCCUACAUCGCCUCCCGUAGUUCUAACUUCUGAUAGAAGAAAAUUGUUACCUGCUCAACGUCUCUCAUCCCCAGGCAUCACGCCGACUAGCAUGACAGAGCCAUGUUGGUAAAUAAUGGAUAACCAAAUUUAAGCUUCCACACCUUUUGGCUGAGAACUGAAGCUACUCUUUUGCCUGUCAGACAAUUAAUCUACAAACUGCUUAUUAUAAGGGUUCAAGAUGUAUUCUUGCCAACAAUUCAAAGUGUGAAGCUAAAAAGAAGGGGAUGGGAAAGACACUCUGAGAACGUCUUCCUAAAGCAUAAGAGGAAAUCAUAUCCUGGGCUACCCAUGAUGAGUUGGGCACCAUCACGGCGGCAUGGCUUGAUCCUAGAGGAUUGUAUGUUGUCUUUAUGCUUAUCAUUACAUGUAAUUGGCCACAUACAAAGCAUAUAUUUGUCGUGCAUGGUAGGAUUAUAUGAAGAUAGAUUUGUGAGACAAUGGCAUUCUUGUGUCAUUUGGACCUGCUUGAAGCUGCAUGGCGAAGUGGGUAGGUCCGCUGCAGUGUACAUAGCAUCGCUUUCCGUGCACUAUAUUUGGUUCCCGUUGCAACGCACGGACAAUUACCUAGUAUAUAUGAUGCAUUUUUCAUACUCCCCGAA
Long non-coding RNA from Sorghum bicolor (sorghum), 1950 nucleotides. RefSeq lists it as uncharacterized. Lineage: Eukaryota; Viridiplantae; Streptophyta; Magnoliopsida; Poales; Poaceae. The record is from RefSeq and is a predicted model, not a curated record. The transcript is spliced from 6 exons.